RNAcentral lists this long non-coding RNA (407 nucleotides) under Bos taurus (domestic cattle). Its description in RNAcentral is "long non-coding RNA NONBTAT022321". The record is from RNAcentral. Lineage: Eukaryota; Metazoa; Chordata; Mammalia; Artiodactyla; Bovidae.
GUUUUGCACUCAGUUUUUAAUUACUGAAUUAUGUUUUUUCACCUUGAUACUUUAUGAUCAUCAGAAAGCUACUUACAUAAUUUAUAAUCAUACUUUAUGCUAAAUGCCCAUUUGUAACUGCAAGAAACUCAUGUUACACUAUUGACUAUGAUAUUAAACAAAGUCAUGGUCACAAGUUUUUGUAUAAGAGGUUUAUGUCUCUAUCUCUUAAAGCAAGAAAUAUCACACAGUUCAGAUUUACAUAAGUAGUUCAUCACACUGGCCCAUGGAAACAUCUAGGGUUAUUUUAUAUUUCCUACCAUUAGAAAAAUUAAACUAAAUAAGGAAAAAAACAAAGGAGAGAAAAGAAAUUUUACAAAAUGGCAACUAGCAUGACCUAAAAGAGUGUACUGAAGUUAUCUUCCUUC